UGGGGAAUAUUGCACAAUGGGCGCAAGCCUGAUGCAGCCAUGCCGCGUGUGUGAAGAAGGCCUCGGGUUGUAAAGCACUUUCAGCGAGGAGGAAGGCGGUGGACUUAAUACGUUCAUCAAUUGACGUUACUCGCAGAAGAAGCACCGGCUAACUCCGUGCCAGCAGCCGCGGUAAUACGGAGGGUGCAAGCGUAAUCGGAAUUACUGGGCGUAAAGCGCACGCAGGCGGUUUGUUAAGUCAGAUGUGAAAUCCCCCGGGCUCAACCUGGGAACUGCAUUUGAAACUGGCAGGCUAGAGUCUCGUAGAGGGGGGUAGAAUUCCAGGUGUAGCGGUGAAAUGCGUAGAGAUCUGGAGGAAUACCGGUGGCGAAGGCGGCCCCCCUGGACGAAGACUGACGCUCAGGUGCGAAAGCGUGGGGAGCAAACAGGAUUAGAUACCCUGGUAGUCCAGCGCUGUAAAACGAUGUCGAUUUUGGAGGUUGUGCCCUUGAGGCGUGGCUUCCGGAGCUAACGCGUUAAAUCGACCGCCUGGGGAGUUACGGCCGCAAGGUUAAACUCAAAUGAAUUGACGGGGUCAUAGCUG
RNAcentral lists this ribosomal RNA (583 nucleotides) under uncultured bacterium. RNAcentral describes it as "partial 16S ribosomal RNA". It matches the Rfam family "Bacterial small subunit ribosomal RNA", at positions 355 to 932 of the family's 1533-position model. The record is from RNAcentral.